This 1608-nucleotide ribosomal RNA is filed under the name Triticum aestivum (bread wheat). RNAcentral's name for it is "partial small subunit ribosomal RNA". The record is from RNAcentral. Lineage: Eukaryota; Viridiplantae; Streptophyta; Magnoliopsida; Poales; Poaceae.
AUGCAUUCCGUCGCAGCUCUCCUCCAGCUGUUUUGCCUCCUCUUGUCACUUCAUCAGAGCCCAUGCUCCGGUGCAGCGGCCACGCCGGGCAACUUCUCCGCCUGCCUCGUCUCCAACGGCGUCACCAACUUCUCCCUGCCCACGUCUCCGAGCUACGCCGGGCUGCUCAACUCCUCCAUCUUCAACCUCCGGUUCAAUCUCCCGAGCGUCCCCGGGCCUGCCGCCGUUGUCCUGCCGGAGUCGAGGGAUGAACUGAGGCGAGCCAUCCUGUGCGCGCGCGCCAGCUCGCUGGCGAUCCGCGUGCGCAGCGGCGGGCACAGCUACGAGGGGCUGUCCUACACCACUGAGAACCACGUGCCGUUCGUGGUGAUCGACCUCGCGAACCUGAACCGCGUGCGGGUCGAGCCGGGCUCGGCCACGGCCUGGGCCGAGUCGGGAGCGACGGUGGGCGAGCUGUACUACGCCGUGGGGCAAUCGAGCCAGUCCCUGGCGUUCCCCGCCGGGUCGGAGUCGACCACUGGUCUAGGGGGGCAGGUCUCCGGCGGCGGGUUCGGGCUUCUGUCCCGGAAGUUUGCGCUCGCCGCCGACAACGUGCUGGACGCGGCUCUCAUCACUCCGGACGGCAGGGUCCUUGACCGGAGUUCUAUGGGCGACGACGUGUUCUGGACGAUCCGAGGCGGCGGAGGCGGGAGCUGGGGUGUGGUGUACGCUUGGAAGCUCCGGCUCGUUCCGGUCCCUCGCAACGUCACCGCGUUCACCGUCGGCCGGACCGGUCCGGUCGAACUCAUUGCCGGGUUGCUUCACAGGUGGCAGUAUGUCGGGCCCAAUCUACCGGACGAGUUUUAUCUCUCCGUGUAUGCUCCUACCGGGUCGACGGACGGCAACGUCUCCAUCUCCUUUACCGGUCAAGUGCUGGAGUCAAAAGAGCGCGCCUUGUCGGUUAUCAGCCAGAGCUUUCCUGAGCUGGGUUUGACCGAGGUAGACCUCUCAGAAAUGAGCUGGGUCGAGUCGACGGCCAAGUUCGCCGGUCUGAACACGGUGGAGGACCUGGCGAACCGGCGGCGCCAGCCAAAGCAGUACUCCAAGAGCAAGUCCGACUACGUGCAGGCACCGAUCUCGAGGCACGACAUGGUCGAGAUCUUCCGGCACCUGUCGACCGGGCCGACGGGGUCCAUCCAGCUCGACCCCUACGGCGGCGCCAUGGCGCGGGUCGGGAGCGCCGAGACGCCGUUCCCCCACCGCGCCGGGAACCUGUACAGUAUCCAGUACGGUGUGAACUGGGACCGGUCGGAGGUGGCCCGCGCGGAGGAGUUCAUCGGAUGGCUCAGGUCGUUCUACAAGUUCAUGGCCCCCUUGGUGUCCAAGGAUCCCCGCGCUGCCUACGUGAACUACCUCGACCUCGACCUGGGCGUGAACAACUGGACGCGCGCUGCCGGUGGGUCGUCCGCUCAGGCGGUUUCUCGUGCGAGGUCGUCGUGGGGGGAGGCGUACUUCGGAGAGAACUUCGACCGGCUGGUUCGUGCUAAGACGGUGGUCGAUCCUGGCAACGUGUUCAACAACGCGCAGAGCAUCCCUCCCUUGAACAUUAGAGCUGAGGGGCAGACAUGA